CACAUGAGAUGUGGGGCUGACGAUGAGCUUUGACUCGUUGAGGAACCUCGCCUCACCAUUCCAAACAAGGAGUAGAGAACUACUAUGGUGAAAACCAUAUUUAAGCAACUGAAACGACACUGCCUUUUCACGUAUAUUCAUGAUUUGGAAAAAAGCCAAAGAAAUUGUGGAAAGGAAUAGUUGGAACGAGCUUAAACCUUGGUGCAAGACCAAACGAAAGCGAUGAAGAUUUGGAACGAGCUUUAGGUAGGUCGCGUAGUUGGAUGCCCCACGAUAUUUUGGGUGACCGAAAUAUUGACAGAAAGGCGGGUAUACAUCUCAGGUG
RNAcentral lists this RNase P RNA (325 nucleotides) under Promethearchaeota archaeon. RNAcentral describes it as "Candidatus Lokiarchaeota archaeon RNase P RNA component". It matches the Rfam family "Archaeal RNase P". From Rfam's summary of the family: Ribonuclease P (RNase P) is a ubiquitous endoribonuclease, found in archaea, bacteria and eukarya as well as chloroplasts and mitochondria. Its best characterised activity is the generation of mature 5'-ends of tRNAs by cleaving the 5'-leader elements of precursor-tRNAs. Lineage: Archaea; Promethearchaeati; Promethearchaeota. The record is from RNAcentral.